This 84-nucleotide small nucleolar RNA is filed under the name Ursus americanus (American black bear). Its description in RNAcentral is "Small nucleolar RNA SNORD79". It matches the Rfam family "Small nucleolar RNA SNORD79". Rfam says of the family: snoRNA U79 or Z22 is found in intron 7 of the gas5 gene in humans and is also present in mice. U79 is a member of the C/D class of snoRNA which contain C (UGAUGA) and D (CUGA) box motifs. The record is from Rfam by way of RNAcentral. Lineage: Eukaryota; Metazoa; Chordata; Mammalia; Carnivora; Ursidae. RNAcentral also lists the same sequence under 2 other names.
UGCUGUUAGUGAUGAUUUUUGAAAUUAAAAACAGAUGGGAAUCUCUCUGAAAAAAAGUGAAGAUUUUAAAAAACUGAAACAGUA